GGAAAAUGCAGACAACUGCCUGGGGUGGGAAGAGGCUUUCCUGUAGAGUGUUCCUGCAGUGGCAUUGCUACUGAAAAGCUUCUUCAUCCUCUGUGACUCUAUGACCAAGACAAGGCACAGCAGUACUGGGAAGGCAGUGGAGUUGCCCAGCACAUGCUAAGAGUAGGGUGCCAGCAGGUUUAACUCUGCCCUGGCCAGCAGCUGGCACAACAGAAUCCUGGAUUUCCACAGCUCUCUGAACAUUUCCAAGAGAGAUACAUUGAUGAAUAAUGAGAUGUGACUGUCUGGGAAAUGGCUUGCAACACUGCUGUAAGGAAUAUUUCUGGAUGAAGUCUUCAUGAGGCCGCUGAAGAGUAAAAUAACCAAUCCUCUCUUAGCUGUACUCAUCAGCCUCAAGGUUGCAGCAAGUCAGGUGGAGCAUCUUCUUGACCCUCUGCACCUUCUUGAAGGAGAAAAAGAGAGCAGCAAGCAGCCUGGCACAGAGCAGAGUAUGGCUUCUUAAAAGUGAGCACCGUGCUCAGGAGUUGUGAGCGAGCAAGCACAAAGGUGUGUAAAGUGGGGAAUGUUGGAUGUUGGCCCUUUCCAGUGGGUAAGGAGCUGGAUUUCUGCAUCUCUGCUGCAAGGAGAAGCUCAGAACUGGGCUGGACUCACAAGUGUUUUGGGGCCAUGUGGCUGUGCCUGCAGCAAUGCAGCAGAUGUGACUCACCACGGCUGGUGCCACGGUGAUGGGUGACACAGAGCCCAAGUGCUGCAGAUUUAUGUCACUGGCAACAGAGGGAAUAUCACUGCUGAUGUGAUGCCCACAGAGGGUUAUCUGUUUUCUUUAUGUUUAUUGAGUUUUUUUCAACAUGCCACAUGAUGCAGACAUUUAUGGAGAGAUGAAAUAAAAUCUGUUUGAUCAAAUAGCUCCUCAAGGUCAUAUAUAAAACAUGAACUCAAAUAGAUUUAAUUGGGAGAGGAGAAACAGCC
Molecule: long non-coding RNA, 969 nt
Organism: Prinia subflava (tawny-flanked prinia)
Lineage: Eukaryota; Metazoa; Chordata; Aves; Passeriformes; Cisticolidae
Exons: 3
Source: RefSeq, a predicted model, not a curated record